RNAcentral lists this long non-coding RNA (518 nucleotides) under Homo sapiens (human). Its description in RNAcentral is "HSALNT0026919". Lineage: Eukaryota; Metazoa; Chordata; Mammalia; Primates; Hominidae. The record is from RNAcentral.
GGUGCUGACGCCAAUCCCGCCAGUUUGAUUUGGACGUAGCAGGAACACCAGCCCCAUCUUUUCACCAUGGAGCUUCCAGAGCUGACUUUGAAGUAUAAAGAGAAAGACCGGAUGUUGGGCCACAGUAGAGGGCUUCCACCAAAGGAGGGGUCUGGGGGCAAAGCAGGCAAAGAGGCAAGCUCCAGGCAGGGGCUGCCAGCAAGCAGGCUUCUCUCGAUGGGUACAACAGUGCUGUAAAGCUGACAAACAGAGUUUGGCUUCACUUGAAGGUGUGAAAAGAACAGCCUGACUCUGAGAGGUUGAGCUUGGCCAUGGUCUCCCCAUGCUGUCUCCCUUGCCUCUUCUCUGAGUCUCAAGGAACAUGCUGUCACUGGCAGAUAUAAGAACAUCUUGUGCUUUAUAUAUAUUUUUAAACCUUACUGGGUUGCUUGUCUAACUCACCCCUCCAGUGCUGGUGGGCCAGGAGAGAGUGAAAACAAAGCCACUGGAUAGUGAGAGGAUAGAGGGUGCUCCACAGA